UGUAUUUGCACUUAAAAAGGUAUAAUUUUUUCAAGUAUUUCCAAAGGCAUCUUGAUUAAUGACCCUAGGCCGAACAAUGGGUCAGAACUCUGUUGUUUCGACGGGGACUGUGGUAGCUGCUGGUAGUGUUGAAGUUGGUAGCUGCGAGGUUGGUAGCCUUGAGGUUGGUGUUGAGGUUGGUAGCUGCGAGGUUGGUAGCCUUGAGGUUGAUGUUGAGGUUGUUGGAAACGUUGAAGUGGGCCAUGUGGGGCGGCAGUUAUUAGUGACAUGGACA
Cydia fagiglandana is the source of this 274-nucleotide long non-coding RNA. RefSeq lists it as uncharacterized. The record is from RefSeq and is a predicted model, not a curated record. The transcript is spliced from 3 exons. Lineage: Eukaryota; Metazoa; Arthropoda; Insecta; Lepidoptera; Tortricidae.